Molecule: ribosomal RNA, 430 nt
Filed under: Pseudomonadota bacterium
Lineage: Bacteria; Pseudomonadati; Pseudomonadota
Description: Proteobacteria bacterium partial 16S ribosomal RNA
Rfam family: Bacterial small subunit ribosomal RNA
Source: RNAcentral
UGGGGAAUAUUGGACAAUGGGCGCAAGCCUGAUCCAGCCAUGCCGCGUGUGUGAAGAAGGCCUUAUGGUUGUAAAGCACUUUAAGCGAGGAGGAGGCUACUUUAGUUAAUACCUAGAGAUAGUGGACGUUACUCGCAGAAUAAGCACCGGCUAACUCUGUGCCAGCAGCCGCGGUAAUACAGAGGGUGCAAGCGUUAAUCGGAUUUACUGGGCGUAAAGCGCGCGUAGGCGGCUAAUUAAGUCGGAUGUGAAAUCCCUGAGCUUAACUUAGGAAUUGCAUUCGAUACUGGUCAGCUAGAGUAUGGGAGAGGAUGGUAGAAUUCCAGGUGUAGCGGUGAAAUGCGUAGAGAUCUGGAGGAAUACCGAUGGCGAAGGCAGCCAUCUGGCCUAAUACUGACGCUGAGGUACGAAAGCAUGGGGAGCAAACAGG